RNAcentral lists this ribosomal RNA (484 nucleotides) under uncultured bacterium. Its description in RNAcentral is "partial 16S ribosomal RNA". It matches the Rfam family "Bacterial small subunit ribosomal RNA", at positions 30 to 507 of the family's 1533-position model. The record is from RNAcentral.
AUUGAACGCUGGCGGCAGGCCUAACACAUGCAAGUCGAGCGGAUGAAGGGAGCUUGCUCCUGGAUUCAGCGGCGGACGGGUGAGUAAUGCCUAGGAAUCUGCCUGGUAGUGGGGGAUAACGUCCGGAAACGGGCGCUAAUACCGCAUACGUCCUGAGGGAGAAAGUGGGGGAUCUUCGGACCUCACGCUAUCAGAUGAGCCUAGGUCGGAUUAGCUAGUUGGUGGGGUAAAGGCCUACCAAGGCGACGAUCCGUAACUGGUCUGAGAGGAUGAUCAGUCACAUUGGAACUGAGACACGGUCCAGACUCCUACGGGAGGCAGCAGUGGGGAAUAUUGGACAAUGGGCGAAAGCCUGAUACAGCCAUGCCGCGUGUGUGAAGAAGGUCUUCGGAUUGUAGAGCACUUUAAGUGGGGAGGAAGGGCAGUAAGUUAAUACCUUGCUGUUUUGACGUUACCAACAGAAUAAGCACCGGCUAACUUCGUG